RNAcentral lists this ribosomal RNA (254 nucleotides) under uncultured bacterium. RNAcentral describes it as "partial 16S ribosomal RNA". It matches the Rfam family "Bacterial small subunit ribosomal RNA", at positions 524 to 776 of the family's 1533-position model. The record is from RNAcentral.
UACGGGGGGAGCAAGCGUUGUUCGGAUUUACUGGGCGUAAAGGGCGCGUAGGCGGCCUCCGCAAGUCGACUGUGAAAUCUCCGGGCUUAACCCGGAAAGGUCAGCCGAAACUGCGGGGCUAGGGUGCAGAAGGGGCAACUGGAAUUCUCGGUGUAGCGGUGAAAUGCGUAGAUAUCGAGAGGAACACCUGCGGCGAAGGCGGGUUGCUGGGCUGACACUGACGCUGAAGCGCGAAAGCUAGGGGAGCGAACGGG